UGUGCUUGAACGAUGGGAUAGGCUUUCCC
This 29-nucleotide non-coding RNA is filed under the name Mus musculus (house mouse). Lineage: Eukaryota; Metazoa; Chordata; Mammalia; Rodentia; Muridae. The record is from RNAcentral.